This is a small nuclear RNA of Otolemur garnettii (small-eared galago), 106 nucleotides long. The record is from Ensembl. Lineage: Eukaryota; Metazoa; Chordata; Mammalia; Primates; Galagidae.
UUCCUACUUUAGAAGGAUAUAUAUUAAAACUGGAGUGGUACAGAGAAUAUUAGCUUGUCCCCUGACCAAAGAUGACAAACGAAUUCAUAACACAUUCCAUUUUUCC